AUGGACAUGCGCAACACCACCCCGGUGACAUGGAUUAAAAGCUCACCUGUUUGGGGCAAGGUGUUUUUCACAAACACGAAAAGCGCCGUUCCUGGAGACAGAUGUAACCUGGAGCGCAGGAUGAAAAUGAACUGCCCAACUAGCAUGUCACAUGGAACCAGGUACCUGCAAUCAAAAACAAGCAAUCAUCAAUGGUUGCACAAUAUAAAGGAACAAACAUCAUGUCUGGUCUUGAGAUAUGCUUACUUCCUCUUUUCCAUUUCUGGAAGGUUACUCCUCGAAAACCUUUCAACAAUCACCUGCAAAUGCAAACAUGGGCAUAAUGUUGGAGCAGCAUACAUACAAACAGAUAAAUUUGAUUAA
This 363-nucleotide ribosomal RNA is filed under the name Triticum aestivum (bread wheat). RNAcentral's name for it is "partial small subunit ribosomal RNA". The record is from RNAcentral. Lineage: Eukaryota; Viridiplantae; Streptophyta; Magnoliopsida; Poales; Poaceae.